This 497-nucleotide ribosomal RNA is filed under the name uncultured bacterium. RNAcentral describes it as "partial 16S ribosomal RNA". It matches the Rfam family "Bacterial small subunit ribosomal RNA", at positions 28 to 507 of the family's 1533-position model. The record is from RNAcentral.
GAUGAACGCUGGCGGCGUGCCUAAUACAUGCAAGUCGAGCGAACAGACGAGGAGCUUGCUCCUUUGACGUUAGCGGCGGACGGGUGAGUAACACGUGGGUAACCUACCUAUAAGACUGGGAUAACUUCGGGAAACCGGAGCUAACACCGGAUAAUAUUUCGAACCGCAUGGUUCGUUAGUGAAAGAUGGCUUUGCUAUCACUUAUAGAUGGACCUGCGCCGUAUUAGCUAGUUGGUAAGGUAACGGCUUACCAAGGCAACGAUACGUAGCCGACCUGAGAGGGUGAUCGGCCACACUGGAACUGAGACACGGUCCAGACUCCUACGGGAGGCAGCAGUAGGGAAUCUUCGGCAAUGGGCGAAAGCCUGACGGAGCAACGCCGCGUGAGUGAUGAAGGUCUUCGGAUCGUAAAACUCUGUUAUUAGGGAAGAACAAACGUGUAAGUAACUGUGCACGUCUUGACGGUACCUAAUCAGAAAGCCACGGCUAACUACGUG